RNAcentral lists this ribosomal RNA (253 nucleotides) under uncultured bacterium. Its description in RNAcentral is "partial 16S ribosomal RNA". It matches the Rfam family "Bacterial small subunit ribosomal RNA", at positions 524 to 773 of the family's 1533-position model. The record is from RNAcentral.
UACGAAGGGGGCUAGCGUUGCUCGGAAUCACUGGGCGUAAAGGGUGCGUAGGCGGGUCUUUUAAGUCAGGGGUGAAAUCCUGGAGCUCAACUCCAGAACUGCCUUUGAUACUGAGGAUCUUGAGUUCGGGAGAGGUGAGUGGAACUGCGAGUGUAGAGGUGAAAUUCGUAGAUAUUCGCAAGAACACCAGUGGCGAAGGCGGCUCACUGGCCCGAUACUGACGCCUGAGGCACGGAAAGCGUGGGGAGCAAAC